GCGCCGGCAGCCUGUGGCUGGACACCGCCCGCUACCACCUGGCGCCGGGCGUGCGCGCCUUCGGCCUGGUGUUCGACAGCACCGCCCGCGGC
This 92-nucleotide transfer RNA is filed under the name Pseudomonas solani. RNAcentral's name for it is "Pseudomonas sp. Sm006 tRNA-Gly". The record is from RNAcentral. Lineage: Bacteria; Pseudomonadati; Pseudomonadota; Gammaproteobacteria; Pseudomonadales; Pseudomonadaceae.